UGUGUGUGUGUGUUGGAGAUAAGUGAAUGUGAGAACACACACACACACACACACACACACACACAAUCACACUAACAUUAUUACACAGGAGUUAAUAGCGAUAGAGGAUUUUACUGCUACAGGAGCAGAUCAGAAGAAGUCAAAGCGUCUAGAGGUGGAGGUUUGGAGCAUGUGGAGGUGACCCUCAGCUCAGGAUUAAUCCAGACUCUUUAUCUUGUGUUACGCCUUCAGCCAACAAAUUGACUUUUUUAUAUUUAUAUACACACACUUUGCUGUUUGCAUCUAUGUAAUGUGUUCUGCUCUCAGCCAAUCAAAACACACUGUUUUAUACUGACAUUAAUGAUGACUGUUUUGUAAUUUGACUACAUGUUUUCCCUUUUUUUUUUUUUUUUAGAACUGCUGAAAUAAAACGUUUUUAAACAUGGA
Long non-coding RNA from Silurus meridionalis, 426 nucleotides. RefSeq lists it as uncharacterized. NCBI's taxonomy places the organism in Eukaryota, Metazoa, Chordata, Actinopteri, Siluriformes, Siluridae. The record is from RefSeq and is a predicted model, not a curated record. The transcript has 2 exons.